Molecule: ribosomal RNA, 1446 nt
Filed under: uncultured bacterium
Lineage: Bacteria
Description: 16S ribosomal RNA
Rfam family: Bacterial small subunit ribosomal RNA
Source: RNAcentral
GGACGAACGCUGGCGGCGUGCUUAACACAUAGCAAGAACGAACGAUGAAGCUGGAGCUUGCUCCGGUGGAUUAGUGGCGAACGGGUGAGUAACACGUGAGAAAUCUGCCCUUGACUCUGGGAUAACUGCGGGAAACUGUAGCUAAUACCGGAUACUUUCCUUGGUGGGCAUCCACUGGGGAAGAAAGAAUUUCGGUCAAGGAUGAUCUCGCGGCCUAUCAGCUUGUUGGUGAGGUAAUGGCUCACCAAGGCGACGACGGGUAGCCGGCCUGAGAGGGUGACCGGCCACACUGGGACUGAGACACGGCCCAGACUCCUACGGGAGGCAGCAGUGGGGAAUAUUGCACAAUGGGCGCAAGCCUGAUGCAGCAACGCCGCGUGAGGGACGAAGGCCUUCGGGUUGUAAACCUCUUUUAGCAGGGAAGAAGCGAAAGUGACGGUACCUGCAGAAAAAGCACCGGCUAACUACGUGCCAGCAGCCGCGGUAAUACGUAGGGUGCAAGCGUUGUCCGGAAUUAUUGGGCGUAAAGAGCUCGUAGGCGGUUUGUCACGUCUGCUGUGAAAUUUCGAGGCUCAACCUCGAACUUGCAGUGGGUACGGGCAGGCUAGAGUGCGGUAGGGGAGAUGGGGAAUUCCUGGUGUAGCGGUGGAAUGCGCAGAUAUCAGGAGGAACACCAAUGGCGAAGGCACAUCUCUGGGCCGUAACUGACGCUGAGGAGCGAAAGCGUGGGGAGCAAACAGGGAUUAGAUACCCUGGUAGUCCACGCCGUAAACGGUGGGUGCUAGCUGUGGGCCACAUUCCACGUGGUCCGUGACGAAAGUUAACACAUUAAGCACCCCGCCUGGGGAGUACGGCCGCAAGGCUAAAACUCAAAGGAAUUGACGGGGGCCCGCACAAGCGGCGGAGCAUGCGGAUUAAUUCGAUGCAACGCGAAGAACCUUACCAAGGCUUGACAUAUAGAGGAAAAGUGCAGAAAUGUACUCCCCGCAAGGUCUCUAUACAGGUGGUGCAUGGUUGUCGUCAGCUCGUGUCGUGAGAUGUUGGGUUAAGUCCCGCAACGAGCGCAACCCUCGUCCUAUGUUGCCAGCACGUAAUGGUGGGAACUCAUGGGAUACUGCCGGGGUCAACUCGGAGGAAGGUGGGGAUGACGUCAAAUCAUCAUGCCCCUUAUGUCUUGGGCUUCACGCAUGCUACAAUGGCCGGUACAGAGGGCUGCAAUACCGUAAGGUGGAGCGAAUCCCAAAAAGCCGGUCUCAGUUCGGAUUGAGGUCUGCAACUCGACCUCAUGAAGUCGGAGUCGCUAGUAAUCGUAGAUCAGCGACGCUACGGUGAAUACGUUCCCGGGCCUUGUACACACCGCCCGUCAAGUCACGAAAGUCGGUAACACCCGAAGCCGGUGGCCUAACCGUAAGGAAGGAGCCGUCGAAGGUGGGAUUGGUGAUUGGG